Molecule: ribosomal RNA, 497 nt
Filed under: uncultured bacterium
Lineage: Bacteria
Description: partial 16S ribosomal RNA
Rfam family: Bacterial small subunit ribosomal RNA
Source: RNAcentral
GAUGAACGCUGGCGGCGUGCCUAAUACAUGCAAGUCGAGCGAACGGACGAGAAGCUUGCUUCUCUGAUGUUAGCGGCGGACGGGUGAGUAACACGUGGAUAACCUACCUAUAAGACUGGGAUAACUUCGGGAAACCGGAGCUAAUACCGGAUAAUAUUUUGAACCGCAUGGUUCAAAAGUGAAAGACGGUCUUGCUGUCACUUAUAGAUGGAUCCGCGCUGCAUUAGCUAGUUGGUAAGGUAACGGCUUACCAAGGCAACGAUGCAUAGCAGACCUGAGAGGGUGAUCGGCCACACUGGAACUGAGACACGGUCCAGACUCCUACGGGAGGCAGCAGUAGGGAAUCUUCCGCAAUGGGCGAAAGCCUGACGGAGCAACGCCGCGCGAGUGAUGAAGGUCUUCGGAUCGUAAAACUCUGUUAUUAGGGAAGAACAUAUGUGUAAGUAACUGUGCACAUCUUGACGGUACCUAAUCAGAAAGCCACGGCUAACUACGUG